CCCACGGCUACGGGACGGGACAUUGGCCAGCAGAAGCGGGACGUGGACAAAAGGCGGGACUGGGCAGGGAGCUGUCCCUUCGACCCACCUCCGACCCCCGGAGUUGCCACCUGGGAACUACUAGUCCCAAAGUGCACCGCUUCCUUCGCCUGGCCUACAGCCCCAUGCGCAGGCGCCUUGCUAAAUUUCUGUUUGGUGGCGCGCUGCGUCCUGGGACUUGUAGUCCUGUCCUGUAAAGGCCACGCAGGUUCCAGGCGUUCUGAGUUCCGCUGGCCCUUCGGCCAGUCCUCAUAGGUGGGCUUCACAGUCCCUGGGAGUCGUCAGUUAUUUGCCCUUCUCUUCCUGAAAAUGUUUCUCUGAGAGCUGACAGAAUGACACUUGGUCCCCAGACAGGGUUUCUCGGUGGCUUUGGAGGAUGCCCUGGAACUAGCUCUUGAGACCAUCUCAAACUCAUAGAGAUCUGCCUGCUUCUGCCUCCCGAGUACUGGGACUAAAGGCAUGCGCCACUAAUGCCCAUCACUGCUGUUUUCUGCCUGAGUCAGAAACUUUUCUUCCCCACUUAAUAAAGGAUCUCUCUGUGAAGAAAAACAAAAAGACUAUGUCUCUCUAUAUAAAGUUUUAUAACUAUUCACUUAUUUUGCGCGUAGGAGGCAUUGAGCACUCUCUACCUACAAUCUUGCUGUAGGAAUGCUGUGAUUACAGAUGGCACCACCACAG
RNAcentral lists this long non-coding RNA (717 nucleotides) under Cricetulus griseus (Chinese hamster). Its description in RNAcentral is "lncRNA (ENSCGRG00015038584.1)". Lineage: Eukaryota; Metazoa; Chordata; Mammalia; Rodentia; Cricetidae. The record is from RNAcentral.